Molecule: long non-coding RNA, 3021 nt
Organism: Capra hircus (goat)
Lineage: Eukaryota; Metazoa; Chordata; Mammalia; Artiodactyla; Bovidae
Source: Ensembl
GUAGUCCGUUCCUUUCUAGAAUAAAUAUUUUAUGUCAUCUGCAUAACUUUUGUUUUUGAAAGAAGUUACGAAAAACAAAACUUAUUUCUGGUCUAUUAUUUACUUUUUAAAGGAAAGCAGAAGAGCGGAAGUUCUGGUGAAGACUCUUAGGACUCCUAGUGCCAAACUUAACCCCAUUGACUUUCAUGACACAAAUGCCAAUAAAGAUGAUUUUGAUUUGAUGGAUUCUCUAAAGCUGGAGGAAGGGUCUCUUCAUCAAAAUAAGCAUUUGGCGUCAGACUCAGAAACUGUUUUGCCUGUGGAUAGAUUUUUAGACACUGAGAUGCCUCAAGUGUCCAUUCAAACAAAUGUGGAUGUAGCAUCUUUGAAGCCUGUUAGUGACAAUGCAUUUAAUUCCACUGAUGCUCCAUGGUCACCUACCAGUGAAAGGCAAACCUGCGAAGGUUAUGAGUUGGUUGGAAAGACCAAGGACCAAGCGAACCCACCACAGAGUGUGGUCUAUCAGGAUGAGGAGGGCAGAUGGGUUACUGAUCUCGCCUAUUAUACACCUUUUGAUAAAGAACAAGAUUUCAAUGUGUCACUCAGUAAUGAACUGAGCGAAGACUUCCGAUCUGGCUCUGAUGCAUUGGAUUUGAUUGCACAAGAUGAAGAAGAAUUUAAUAAAGAGCAUCAGUUUAUGCAGGAAGAAAAUAUAGAUGCCCAGAACAUGUCUGUUGCCCUUGGAGAUACAUCAUGGGGAACUUCGGUCAACUAUGGUCUGCUGAGGAGAUCACUGAGUGCAUCAGAUGUGGACAGAGAUGAUGCCAGUUACUUACGUCUGUCUUUAGGGGAGUUCUUUGCUCAAAGGUCUGAAGCUCUUGGUUGCCUUGGUGGUGGUUACAAUGUGAAAAGAGUAAGUACCAUGUAUAUUGGGAGUGGUAAAUGCACCAGCCCUUAUGUACUGAAUGCAGUGACAGUGUAGCCAGAUCAUAGUGUCUUUAAAGCAGAGACAGAAUAGGGGCAUGGUGGGAUGGUGGGAAAAGGUUUCGAUUUUUAGUGGUCAUACCCUUGCUCCAGUCCUAGCUCUGUCUUUUAGCUAGUUCUGCGUCAUGGAACAAUGCAUGUAACUCCUCUGUGCCUUAAUUUUCCGAUUUCUGGGAUGGAACACUGCCUUACAGGGUUUGGGGGUUACUGUGCUGCUGCACUACGGUGUUUAGCACAGCUUCACGUGCAUCAAGUACUUGAUGUUUGUUUCUCUUAUGUCUUUGGUUGUGGGAAGAAUUCAGAGAUACAUUAAUUUUUAAACCUCUGGUCUAAAAACAUGUUUUGAAAUAUAGUAGUGUUUUGGUUUAGUAAGAUGUACGUGUAAAAAGUUUUAAAUGCCAGUGGAAGUGGUAAGUUGUAUGAGGCAGGAGGGGAAGCUAUGUUGUCUCUAGGGUCAGGGCGGUGUCUGAGGAGGGGCGCUGUGCUGGCACCUGACAGGUGGGGAGUAAGGUGGCGUGUUCACAGUGAAGGCCUGGAGGUGCCAAGUGGAGCUUGAGUGGCACAUUCAAGGAGCAGAGAGCAGGCAGACAGCUCCUGUGAGUGGGGCAGCAGGCGGAUGGCUGGUGGAAGUAGACAAGGGCCAGGUCAUGAGGGGCCCUCAGAGCUUGAGGGCAUCUCACGGGGACAGGGAGGCAGGGCAUAGUUUUCAGGCCCAGAUGUGAGAGGAACUGGAGGCAGGAGUCUCCUAAGCCCCAGAGGAGGAUCAGUGGGCAGAGACUGAGCCACAUAGGAGGUGCCGCGAAGGCCAGGGAAUAGGAUGGCAGUAGGAAACAGAGGAGUCUAGGGCGCAGGAGUGCCUCUGGAGAAUUCCGUGCUGGGACUUGGUGCUGUCAUAGUGAGUGUAUGCUAAACCUGAGUUUCAUUGAGGGUGUAAUUUGAAACAGCUAGCGAGUUAGAACACUGCCAAUUUACAGAAAAAUUUGAACUGAGGGUCCUAUCUGUGCAGUGAAUUAAGAAAUGAGAGUAAAUACUUAGGCAGAUAUUUCUUCCUGGAUCACUUGGUUUUGACAUUAUGAGAGAAGUUGAAGAGUAACUGAAUUCCUUUCUGAAACAGCUGGACAAAACACCAGGUACUAGAAAGAUGUAUCUAUUACUUUGUGUUAGUUGUGAAAUGUUGCUUGGUUCAGGUUGCUGGAUCAAAGGAAGAUAUCCCCAAGUGAAGAUGAGUUGAAAAUUGAGUGCCUUUAGUGAAUUUGCAUUUCAGGUCUGUUCUGUGAGAGCUCUGGAAAGAAGCUGGAUGGGGAAUUCCCUGCCCCUGAGCAAUGUCCUUGAACGCAGACCUUCUGAAUGCUCAUCCAAGGCAGUAGGAUCAUACCUAAUCUUAAUAUAGGUUUUCAGGGACCUAUUUAUUGUGUAAAAUAAAAUACCCUUCUAAGUACUAUAAGUUCCAGGAAGGCAGAAAAUUUUAUCUUUUUUUUACUGAUAUGUCACUGAUGAUUACCAGCAGUGCCUAACAGAUAGUAGGUGCUUAAUAAUAAUAAUUGCUGAAGGAACAGUGUUGUUUCUGGGUUGUUUUCAUUUGGAUUUCUUAGUAAGGGCAAAUUAUUUGGCAGUAUUCAUUCUGAUGAUUACAGAUAGCUAGCAGUAAGGAAAUAAAAGGUCCUGUCUGGACUUGCAAUGUUCAUUUCUAGCAACUUACAUUUAAAUGGAAAAUCAGAAUUACUUUGUUGAAAUCCGUUUAACUAGGUUACAAGUAUUAGGAUAAAAUAGUCCAGAAUUUCUCAGAGGAGUUGAACAUAAAGAAAAUAAUUGACAUGUUUAUUUUGUAGCCAUCGUUUGGUUAUUUUAUUAGAUCACCAGAGAAAAGAGAACCUAUUGCCCUAAUAAGAAAAUCAGACCUAUCAAGAAGUAAUUUGGGAAAAGAAGUGGCUGAUCUUAACCAUGGUUUUUUUUCAGGUAAUGGAUUAAAUGAAAUUUUUAGUAAACUUUUUAUUUAACCUGUAAAUUAGUGGUUGUGUGAUCAUGUUCUUCUGAGGAAGAAAGUAUUUUAAUUUUUUG